Molecule: long non-coding RNA, 204 nt
Filed under: Phoenix dactylifera (date palm)
Lineage: Eukaryota; Viridiplantae; Streptophyta; Magnoliopsida; Arecales; Arecaceae
Description: long non-coding RNA (PDAC_LNC016903)
Source: RNAcentral
GAGAAGCCUCGGCUCUCCUGAGGACGAGGUCCCCUACUUUGAAGAGCUUGGGCUUGACUUUGGAGUUGUAGUACUGGGCCGUUCUCUGUUGGUAUCUUGCCAUACGGACCCGGGCGACCUCUCGUGUCUCUUCGACGAGGUCCAAAUUGCUCCUGAGCUGGGAGGAAUUGGUGUCGGGGUCAUAAUGCUCCACCCUUGGAGAAG